CCUACGGGAGGCAGCAGUGAGGAAUAUUGGUCAAUGGGCGGAAGCCUGAACCAGCCAAGUAGCGUGCAGGAUGAAGGCCCUACGGGUUGUAAACUGCUUUUAUACGGGAAUAACGCGCCUUACGUGUAGGGCUUUGCAUGUACCGUAUGAAAAAGGACCGGCUAAUUCCGUGCCAGCAGCCGCGGUAAUACGGAGGGUCCGGGCGUUAUCCGGAUUUAUUGGGUUUAAAGGGUGCGUAGGCCGCAUGUCAAGCGUGCGGGGAAAUGUCCGGGCUCAACCCGGGCCUUGCAGCGCGAACUGGCGUGCUGGAGUCCGCGGAAAGCAGGCGGAAUUCGUGGUGUAGCGGUGAAAUGCUUAGAUAUGGCGAAGAACCCCGAUUGCGAAGGCAGCUUGCUGCAGCGGAACUGACGCUGAGGCUCGAAAGCGCGGGUAUCGAACAGGAUUAGAUACCCCAGUAGUC
This 460-nucleotide ribosomal RNA is filed under the name uncultured bacterium. RNAcentral's name for it is "partial 16S ribosomal RNA". It matches the Rfam family "Bacterial small subunit ribosomal RNA", at positions 338 to 795 of the family's 1533-position model. The record is from RNAcentral.